Molecule: microRNA, 24 nt
Filed under: Macaca mulatta (Rhesus monkey)
Lineage: Eukaryota; Metazoa; Chordata; Mammalia; Primates; Cercopithecidae
Also listed under: 2 other names
Description: mml-miR-939
Gene: mml-miR-939
Source: miRBase by way of RNAcentral
UGGGGAGCUGAGGCUCUGGGGGUG